UCUCAAGAAAACGCCGUACUGUCCCUGAACAAAAGAAACUAACAGAUCAACCUGACAGCUGAGAAUGACUUAAUUGCAUACAGGCAUCAACACAACCAUUAUGAUAAGCAGCUACACAUUAUAGCUAUUUCAUCCAAAAAACGUUAGCUUCUCUUGUAAUUAAAAAUGGAUGGGAAAUUAACUUCCCAAGGAAUAUGGAAACAUUCUCUUGGCAUAUUACAGAACAUAUAACAUGUCAGGAUCAUAGUUGUCAAAUGGAAACUCAAAUCAAGAAUCAAAGUCCUCAUUUUGUAAAUAAAAAUUUCGUAUAAUUCUCAAAAUGAAAUUAGAAACAAUAUAUAUCCAUAUAAAACAAAUAAAUGCAUCAAACUUGACAAAUAUGAGUGAUCUGUGGACAAAUGGAAACGCAUUUACCUUUAAAGCAAGAAACGUGUGCCAAGACCCGUCAUUACCAACUCUAAAAUAUAAAAUGCAAAGAUAAAUUUAAGAAGCAUUGAAAGGUACAUUUCAUAUUAAUUUGAUAAAAGAUAUUUGAUAUUGAUGUUUCAUAUCGUGUAACCAUAUGCAAAAAAGAUUAAAAGCCUAUGUAUACUCCUCAUUUUUUUAAAUUUGAACUCUAUCUUUCAUUAAGCCUUAGUUUUCAAUACCUUGAGAAGUCAUUUAAAAAAAAUGAAUAAAUAAUUUCAGCUCAGGUUACUUGGAGGAGUCUUUCACAAUAGAACUUGAAAGAAACACGUUAAAUAGUUUUGAACCCAUUGGGUCUAAUGCGCAUUUGGGUUUACUUGAUGAGGAAAGGAAAGAAUUAACAGAAUUAAUUGAUUCAACAGAUUCACAUUCAACUCACUUGAUUCAUGUAUAUUUGUGAUUCAACUGAUAGACUUUUAUAGCUAGGAAUAGGAAUCAACUUGAAUCAUACAACUUGAAUAAAGAACAGAAAAAUUUUAACAAAACUAGUCAAGAGAACUAAACCAAGAACAAUAACAUGUGGGGGGGAGAAAAAUCUCACUUAUAGCCACAUGUGCAGCUGGU
RNAcentral lists this unclassified non-coding RNA (1029 nucleotides) under Hevea brasiliensis (rubber tree). Lineage: Eukaryota; Viridiplantae; Streptophyta; Magnoliopsida; Malpighiales; Euphorbiaceae. The record is from RNAcentral.